CUGAAUAUUUAUUGCAAUAUAUUCUAUCUAUCCAUUACUCUCGAGUGACGUGGGGGAAAAAUUAUUCCGCUGCGAAAUGAAUGCUUAUUUACCAUCUACAGUUUACAUUGAAUAUUGUUGGUAGUUUAAGACAGUUGCAGCAUCUUUAUCUCCACGACCACUGCAGUUUACUAUGACCUUAGUGCCACUGGGUAAAGUUGGACAAAGUUUCUCCAGAAAUGCCAAUGCAUGAGAUGCCUCCAGAGAUGGAAUUAUACCCUCUAUUCUGCUAAGCCUUUUGUAUGCUUCUACAGCUUCUUUAUCUGUUGCAGAAUAAAACUCUGCACGUCCUGUGUCUUUAAGAAAGCUUAGUUCUGGGCUAACUCCUGGGUAUUCUAGCCCCACACCAAUAGAGUGUGGUCCUAUUAUCUGGCCUUCCUCAUCCUGCAACAAGUAGCUCAUGGCUCCAUGGUAAACUCCCACUUCUCCUCUAGCCAGAGUAGCAGCAUGUUUCCCACUAUCUAAACCAAACCCAGCAGCCUCAACUCCUAUCAACCUCACAUCUUCAUCUCCUAUGAAUUCGUGGAAUAUCCCCAGUGCAUUAGAUCCACUCCCUACACAGGCAAGCAGGACAUCUGGCUUGCCACCCCAUUUCUCCAUCGCUUGCCUCCGCGUUUCCUUUCCUAUCACUGACUGGAACUCGCGGACCAUGCUUGGACAUGGAUGAGGCCCCACUAUAGUACCCUAUAGUACCUGUCAAGUAAUAGGUUGUCUGUAAAUUUCCCACCCAUUCCCUGAUUGCCUGUGAACUUGCAUCUUUAAAAUUUCCUUCCACACCUUUAACCUCAGCUCCUAAUAGUUUCAUCAAGAGUACGUUUGAGUUUUGUUUCUCCAUAUCUGAAAUGCCCAUGAAAACAGUACACUCCAAAGAAAGCUUGGCACAUGCAGCCGCAGUUGCAACUCCAUGUUGUCCAGCCCCAGUGGCCGCCACAACACUUUUCAGACCCAUGCGUUUGGCAAUCAUCCCCUGAGCAAUCGCAUUAUUCAAUUUGUGUGCUCCGCAGUGGUUGAGAUCUUCUCUCUUCAAGUAAAUUUCUGGUCCAUGUCCAUCUUCAUUCUUGUAGUGAUUUGUGAGCCGCUCUGCAAAGUACAGAGGUGUCUCCCUUCCUAUGUAGUCUCUUAGUGCUGUUUGAAGUUCAUUCUGAAACUCAGGGUCCUCUAAGGCCCAGUUGAAUUCAGCUUCAAGCUCCUUCAAGCAUGCAAUGAGAGUCUCAGGCACGAACUUGCCUCCAAACCUCCCAAAUUUUCCAGAGAUGAUUGCUGGCACAUUAAUGGGAACUUGCUGUGUUCCCAUCAUUGGUUUGUUGAGGUCCAAUUUUCUGGAGUUGGGAGUAUUUUCCAUAUGCAAAAGUUGAGCACAAGCUACAUGGGCAUUUCUGGUAUUUCU
Molecule: unclassified non-coding RNA, 1426 nt
Filed under: Hevea brasiliensis (rubber tree)
Lineage: Eukaryota; Viridiplantae; Streptophyta; Magnoliopsida; Malpighiales; Euphorbiaceae
Source: RNAcentral